Long non-coding RNA from Eurytemora carolleeae, 435 nucleotides. RefSeq lists it as uncharacterized. The transcript has 3 exons. The record is from RefSeq and is a predicted model, not a curated record. NCBI's taxonomy places the organism in Eukaryota, Metazoa, Arthropoda, Copepoda, Calanoida, Temoridae.
AUAAUCUGUGCUAGGUACGGAUAUCGCAGUAGUACAUUCAAACUGUUUCCGGUGUUUUCAUCACUAACUUUUCUUUAACAAUAUGAGGUUAAGCAUUAUUCUGAGCGUUGUUCUCCUUCUCCUGAACCUGGUUCGACCAGGUUUAUCCUUCCCUCGGCAGGAACUCAAGACUAGAGAGGAGAUCAUGAAUUAUCUUCUUGAGAAGGUUACAGAGGAAGGGAAGAAUCUUCCUCUAGAUGAUGAGGUUCUUGAUGAUGAGGAUGAUAUUGAAGAUGAAAUAGAUGCUUUACUUUAUGAAUAACAUUAUUUCUCCUCUUUCCAUCCCCCACAAUAUAACAAACACCUUAAACCUGUCAUAAUUUAUCCAUCAACAUAUAAUAGUCAUCAUCAAUUUAAUUCAUUUCAUGAAAUAUAUAUUUUAUCCAUAACAAUUUA